RNAcentral lists this ribosomal RNA (2925 nucleotides) under Escherichia coli. RNAcentral describes it as "23S ribosomal RNA". It matches the Rfam family "Bacterial large subunit ribosomal RNA". Lineage: Bacteria; Pseudomonadati; Pseudomonadota; Gammaproteobacteria; Enterobacterales; Enterobacteriaceae. The record is from RNAcentral.
GGGUUGUGAGGUUAAGCGACUAAGCGUACACGGUGGAUGCCCUGGCAGUCAGAGGCGAUGAAGGACGUGCUAAUCUGCGAUAAGCGUCGGUAAGGUGAUAUGAACCGUUAUAACCGGCGAUUUCCGAAUGGGGAAACCCAGUGUGUUUCGACACACUAUCAUUAACUGAAUCCAUAGGUUAAUGAGGCGAACCGGGGGAACUGAAACAUCUAAGUACCCCGAGGAAAAGAAAUCAACCGAGAUUCCCCCAGUAGCGGCGAGCGAACGGGGAGCAGCCCAGAGCCUGAAUCAGUGUGUGUGUUAGUGGAAGCGUCUGGAAAGGCGCGCGAUACAGGGUGACAGCCCCGUACACAAAAAUGCACAUGCUGUGAGCUCGAUGAGUAGGGCGGGACACGUGGUAUCCUGUCUGAAUAUGGGGGGACCAUCCUCCAAGGCUAAAUACUCCUGACUGACCGAUAGUGAACCAGUACCGUGAGGGAAAGGCGAAAAGAACCCCGGCGAGGGGAGUGAAAAAGAACCUGAAACCGUGUACGUACAAGCAGUGGGAGCACGCUUAGGCGUGUGACUGCGUACCUUUUGUAUAAUGGGUCAGCGACUUAUAUUCUGUAGCAAGGUUAACCGAAUAGGGGAGCCGAAGGGAAACCGAGUCUUAACUGGGCGUUAAGUUGCAGGGUAUAGACCCGAAACCCGGUGAUCUAGCCAUGGGCAGGUUGAAGGUUGGGUAACACUAACUGGAGGACCGAACCGACUAAUGUUGAAAAAUUAGCGGAUGACUUGUGGCUGGGGGUGAAAGGCCAAUCAAACCGGGAGAUAGCUGGUUCUCCCCGAAAGCUAUUUAGGUAGCGCCUCGUGAAUUCAUCUCCGGGGGUAGAGCACUGUUUCGGCAAGGGGGUCAUCCCGACUUACCAACCCGAUGCAAACUGCGAAUACCGGAGAAUGUUAUCACGGGAGACACACGGCGGGUGCUAACGUCCGUCGUGAAGAGGGAAACAACCCAGACCGCCAGCUAAGGUCCCAAAGUCAUGGUUAAGUGGGAAACGAUGUGGGAAGGCCCAGACAGCCAGGAUGUUGGCUUAGAAGCAGCCAUCAUUUAAAGAAAGCGUAAUAGCUCACUGGUCGAGUCGGCCUGCGCGGAAGAUGUAACGGGGCUAAACCAUGCACCGAAGCUGCGGCAGCGACGCUGAUGCGUUGUUGGGUAGGGGAGCGUUCUGUAAGCCUGCGAAGGUGUGCUGUGAGGCAUGCUGGAGGUAUCAGAAGUGCGAAUGCUGACAUAAGUAACGAUAAAGCGGGUGAAAAGCCCGCUCGCCGGAAGACCAAGGGUUCCUGUCCAACGUUAAUCGGGGCAGGGUGAGUCGACCCCUAAGGCGAGGCCGAAAGGCGUAGUCGAUGGGAAACAGGUUAAUAUUCCUGUACUUGGUGUUACUGCGAAGGGGGGACGGAGAAGGCUAUGUUGGCCGGGCGACGGUUGUCCCGGUUUAAGCGUGUAGGCUGGUUUUCCAGGCAAAUCCGGAAAAUCAAGGCUGAGGCGUGAUGACGAGGCACUACGGUGCUGAAGCAACAAAUGCCCUGCUUCCAGGAAAAGCCUCUAAGCAUCAGGUAACAUCAAAUCGUACCCCAAACCGACACAGGUGGUCAGGUAGAGAAUACCAAGGCGCUUGAGAGAACUCGGGUGAAGGAACUAGGCAAAAUGGUGCCGUAACUUCGGGAGAAGGCACGCUGAUAUGUAGGUGAGGUCCCUCGCGGAUGGAGCUGAAAUCAGUCGAAGAUACCAGCUGGCUGCAACUGUUUAUUAAAAACACAGCACUGUGCAAACACGAAAGUGGACGUAUACGGUGUGACGCCUGCCCGGUGCCGGAAGGUUAAUUGAUGGGGUUAGCGCAAGCGAAGCUCUUGAUCGAAGCCCCGGUAAACGGCGGCCGUAACUAUAACGGUCCUAAGGUAGCGAAAUUCCUUGUCGGGUAAGUUCCGACCUGCACGAAUGGCGUAAUGAUGGCCAGGCUGUCUCCACCCGAGACUCAGUGAAAUUGAACUCGCUGUGAAGAUGCAGUGUACCCGCGGCAAGACGGAAAGACCCCGUGAACCUUUACUAUAGCUUGACACUGAACAUUGAGCCUUGAUGUGUAGGAUAGGUGGGAGGCUUUGAAGUGUGGACGCCAGUCUGCAUGGAGCCGACCUUGAAAUACCACCCUUUAAUGUUUGAUGUUCUAACGUUGACCCGUAAUCCGGGUUGCGGACAGUGUCUGGUGGGUAGUUUGACUGGGGCGGUCUCCUCCUAAAGAGUAACGGAGGAGCACGAAGGUUGGCUAAUCCUGGUCGGACAUCAGGAGGUUAGUGCAAUGGCAUAAGCCAGCUUGACUGCGAGCGUGACGGCGCGAGCAGGUGCGAAAGCAGGUCAUAGUGAUCCGGUGGUUCUGAAUGGAAGGGCCAUCGCUCAACGGAUAAAAGGUACUCCGGGGAUAACAGGCUGAUACCGCCCAAGAGUUCAUAUCGACGGCGGUGUUUGGCACCUCGAUGUCGGCUCAUCACAUCCUGGGGCUGAAGUAGGUCCCAAGGGUAUGGCUGUUCGCCAUUUAAAGUGGUACGCGAGCUGGGUUUAGAACGUCGUGAGACAGUUCGGUCCCUAUCUGCCGUGGGCGCUGGAGAACUGAGGGGGGCUGCUCCUAGUACGAGAGGACCGGAGUGGACGCAUCACUGGUGUUCGGGUUGUCAUGCCAAUGGCACUGCCCGGUAGCUAAAUGCGGAAGAGAUAAGUGCUGAAAGCAUCUAAGCACGAAACUUGCCCCGAGAUGAGUUCUCCCUGACCCUUUAAGGGUCCUGAAGGAACGUUGAAGACGACGACGUUGAUAGGCCGGGUGUGUAAGCGCAGCGAUGCGUUGAGCUAACCGGUACUAAUGAACCGUGAGGCUUAACCUUACAACGCCGAAG